RNAcentral lists this transfer RNA (73 nucleotides) under Stegodyphus mimosarum. It matches the Rfam family "tRNA". Rfam says of the family: Transfer RNA (tRNA) molecules are approximately 80 nucleotides in length. Their secondary structure includes four short double-helical elements and three loops (D, anti-codon, and T loops). The record is from Rfam by way of RNAcentral. Lineage: Eukaryota; Metazoa; Arthropoda; Arachnida; Araneae; Eresidae.
GUCUUCGUGGUGUAGCGUUCAGCACGCUGGGUGCGUAUUCCGGAGAUCCGUGGUUCGAUUCCUGGCGAAAACG